AAAACCCUAGAGAUAGGGCUUCUCCUUCGGGAGCAGAGUGACAGGUGGUGCAUGGUUGUCGUCAGCUCGUGUCGUGAGAUGUUGGGUUAAGUCCCGCAACGAGCGCAACCCUUGAUCUUAGUUGCCAUCAUUAAGUUGGGCACUCUAAGGUGACUGCCGGUGACAAACCGGAGGAAGGUGGGGAUGACGUCAAAUCAUCAUGCCCCUUAUGACCUGGGCUACACACGUGCUACAAUGGACGGUACAAAGAGCUGCAAGACCGCGAGGUGGAGCUAAUCUCAUAAAACCGUGCUCAGUUCGGAUUGUAGGCUGCAACUCGCCUACAUGAAGCUGGAAUCGCUAGUAAUCGCGGAUCAGCAUGCCGCGGUGAAUACGUUCCCGGGCCUUGUACACACCGCCCGUCACACCACGAGAGUUUGUAACACCCGAAGUCGGUGGGGUAACCUUUUUGGAGCCAGCCGCCUAAGGUGGGACAGAUGAUUGGGGUGAAGUCGUAACAAGGUAGCCGUAUCGGAAGGUGCGGCUGGAUCACCUCCUUU
This 539-nucleotide ribosomal RNA is filed under the name Bacillus toyonensis. RNAcentral's name for it is "bacterial SSU rRNA". It matches the Rfam family "Bacterial small subunit ribosomal RNA", at positions 994 to 1533 of the family's 1533-position model. The record is from RNAcentral. Lineage: Bacteria; Bacillati; Bacillota; Bacilli; Caryophanales; Bacillaceae.